AUUGAACGCUGGCGGAAUGCUUUACACAUGCAAGUCGAACGGCAGCACGGGGGCAACCCUGGUGGCGAGUGGCGAACGGGUGAGUAAUAUAUCGGAACGUGCCCAGUCGUGGGGGAUAACGUAGCGAAAGUUACGCUAAUACCGCAUACGAUCUACGGAUGAAAGCGGGGGAUCGCAAGACCUCGCGCGAUUGGAGCGGCCGAUAUCAGAUUAGGUAGUUGGUGGGGUAAAGGCUCACCAAGCCAACGAUCUGUAGCUGGUCUGAGAGGACGACCAGCCACACUGGGACUGAGACACGGCCCAGACUCCUACGGGAGGCAGCAGUGGGGAAUUUUGGACAAUGGGCGCAAGCCUGAUCCAGCCAUUCCGCGUGC
This 374-nucleotide ribosomal RNA is filed under the name uncultured bacterium. RNAcentral describes it as "bacterial SSU rRNA". It matches the Rfam family "Bacterial small subunit ribosomal RNA", at positions 30 to 404 of the family's 1533-position model. The record is from RNAcentral.